AGUGAACGUUGGCGGCGUGCCUAACACAUGCAAGUCGAACGAGAACCGAGUAGCUUGCUACUCGGGGAAAGUGGCGAACGGGUGAGUAACACGUGAGCAAUCUGCCCUUGAGUGAGGAAUAACCCCGCGAAAGCGGGGCUAAUACCGCAUGAGACUCUGGAGCAUAAGCUUUCAGAGUUAAAGCCUUCGGGCGUUUGAGGAUGAGCUUGCGUCCUAUUAGCUAGUUGGUAGGGUAAUGGCCUACCAAGGGUUAUGAUGGGUAGCCGGCCUGAGAGGGUGUCCGGCCACACUGGAACUGGGACACGGUCCAGACUCCUACGGGAGGCAGCAGUGGGGAAUUUUGCGCGAUGGGCGAAAGCCUGACGCAGCGACGCCGCGUGGAGGAUGAAGGCUUUCGGGUUGUAAACUCCUGUCAGAGGUGAAGAAAACCCCCUUCGGGGGGCUUGACGGUAACCUCAGAGGAAGCCCCGGCUAACUACGUG
Molecule: ribosomal RNA, 482 nt
Filed under: uncultured bacterium
Lineage: Bacteria
Description: bacterial SSU rRNA
Rfam family: Bacterial small subunit ribosomal RNA
Source: RNAcentral